RNAcentral lists this ribosomal RNA (427 nucleotides) under uncultured bacterium. Its description in RNAcentral is "bacterial SSU rRNA". It matches the Rfam family "Bacterial small subunit ribosomal RNA", at positions 355 to 774 of the family's 1533-position model. The record is from RNAcentral.
UGGGGAAUUUUGGACAAUGGGGGCAACCCUGAUCCAGCCAUCCCGCGUGUGCGAUGAAGGCCUUCGGGUUGUAAAGCACUUUUGGCAGGGAAGAAACAGCCUGGGCUAAUAUCCCGGGCGACUGACGGUACCUGCAGAAUAAGCACCGGCUAACUUCGUGCCAGCAGCCGCGGUAAUACGAGGGGAGCUAGCGUUGUUCGGAAUUACUGGGCGUAAAGCGCGCGUAGGCGGUUUUUUAAGUCAGAGGUGAAAGCCCGGGGCUCAACCCCGGAAUUGCCUUUGAAACUGGAAAACUAGAAUCUUGGAGAGGUCAGUGGAAUUCCGAGUGUAGAGGUGAAAUUCGUAGAUAUUCGGAAGAACACCAGUGGCGAAGGCGACUGACUGGACAAGUAUUGACGCUGAGGUGCGAAAGCGUGGGGAGCAAACA